UACGAAGGGGGCUAGCGUUGCUCGGAAUUACUGGGCGUAAAGGGCGUGCAGGCGGUUUGUUAAGUCUAGGGUGAAAGCUCCCGGCUCAACUGGGAGAGGUCCUUGGAUACUGGCGAACUUGAGGGAUGCAGAGGAAAGUGGAAUUCCCGGUGUAGUGGUGAUAUGCGUAGAUAUCGGGAGGAACACCAGUGGCGAAGGCGGCUUUCUGGGCAUUUCCUGACGCUGAGACGCGAAAGCGUGGGGAGCGAACCGG
This 253-nucleotide ribosomal RNA is filed under the name uncultured bacterium. RNAcentral describes it as "partial 16S ribosomal RNA". It matches the Rfam family "Bacterial small subunit ribosomal RNA", at positions 524 to 776 of the family's 1533-position model. The record is from RNAcentral.